This 2181-nucleotide long non-coding RNA is filed under the name Marmota monax (woodchuck). The record is from RNAcentral. Lineage: Eukaryota; Metazoa; Chordata; Mammalia; Rodentia; Sciuridae.
CCCACCGCGGGCGGCUGCCGGAAGAACGCGGGCUGCUGCCUGGAGACCGCGGGCGACGGCUGCGCCUUGCUCGCCUGAGCUCCUUCGCGAGCCGGGACUCGAGCGGCGCUGGGCGGCGGCCUCCUGCACUCCGUGAAGUUGAAUGAGCGUAACAAUCAAAGUGGCCGCCGCCGCGGCUCCUCAGCAGCCCGGAGGCUCAGCGCCUAGACGAGUUCGGGGCAGAAUGAGACCCGAGGUGGGAGGAGAACGGCGGGCCGAGGAUCGGGUCCUCCUCGCUCGAUUCGCCUCCUCCUGGGAUUGUGGUAGCCGGGUCCAAGGGAAGAGGACGGAGCGUUGGGACUGACCAUUUGGAGGAAGGUUGCCCGGGGAUCCUGUUAGUGCACCUGCCCCUUCUCCCCCGACCCCAAGACAUUUUUAACAUCACCUCAUCCCUCAAGUUCGGCUCUCUCAUUCUCCAGUAAAAAAGGCUAAACUGUUGGGUCUGAUAGGUAAUCGAGUGGUGUAUGAGGAAAAGAGGGAGAAAGGGAUUGGUGAGACGGGUCUGGGGUUGCAGCUCGGGAGUAGAGCCCUUGCCCUGCAAGCGCGGAACCCCGGGAUUCAAUCCCCAGCACUGGGGUGGGGGCGGGGGUAAUAAGAAGUGAGAAGAAAAUUGCCAAAAUCGGGUUGAGAAAGUCCUGUGAAGUAGAAAGUACUUCUGUCCAUUAGUUCCAGAUACAUUUGUAAGACAAGAAGCCGUGUUGGAACAUAGCGAUAUUGGUUCUUUAAUUGGGAGCGGUGAGCUCAUCAUAAAAGUGUUGAGCUCUGAGGUUGUACAGCUGUUAACCAGCAGCUGCAGACCAGGCAAAAGUGCCUGUCCUUCAACAGGAUGGGAGUCAAGGGGUUGACCCCAGUGAGGAAGCUGGGUAAGUGCUGUGGAACUCUUCCAGGUAGUUAAAAGUCCCUUUUUCAUUAUAGUACUUUUCCUAGAAGUGAUCCUCCCAUCAUUAAAUAGAGGUAAGCUACUGAAGUCAGUUUUGCCCUUCAACUUCUCAGGACCGCUGGACUGGAGAUGGCACAGGAGCAGUUGAGUAUAAUCACCAUUGAAAAAUGGACUGAAGAAAAACUUAAGGAAAAAGAAAAAGAUGGGCUGAACAUGGAAGAAGUUCACCUGUCAAGCAAAAUUAUCUGCUUCUACUUUUUUGCACAAUGAUAAAUAAGAUUUCCCAUACUAAUAAAAAAUACAUAAAUGUUGAAUUUGAAAGUCCCUAUUGUAACAAACACUGCUAAACUUAAUAUAAAUUCACCAAAUCCCAGAAAUUAGAGUUUAAAUGGGCUAUUGUACCCCUAAAUAGUAAAAUUCAUAGUGCUUUCUUUAAAAAGGUUUAUUCUUAGGAUAUUGUAAUAAUAGUGUCUAAUCAUUAUAGUUGUCAGGUAGAGACCAGUAUUAGUAUACCAAGUUGACCAAAGAUUUAUAGCCUCAAACAUCUUUCCUUCAUAGUAAUAAUGUGUGAUUAGUCUUUUUGUGAUUAUAUGGUUGUCUCCCCUGCUCUGCUGUAAGCUCUCUGAGAGCAGGGACCAUGUCUUUUCUGCUCAAGGGCAUAUUUGAGAGCCAGCACAUAGCUGGACACAAUCUCAGCAACUUGGGAGGCUGAGGCAGGAAGAUUGCCAAGUUCUAGGCCAGUCUAGGCAACUUAGCAUGAUCCUGUCUCAAAAUAAAAAAUAAAAAGGUGUUACUGAGCACCCUUGGCUUCCAUCCCCAGUUCUGAGAAAAAAUAUCAAGAGCCAGCACAUACUGGCAAUUAAUGGCCACCUCAAUAUUUACUGAAUACAUGAAUGAACUUAGGAAGUAUGGAGGAAUUUCGAGGCUAAGAUAAUGACUGGAGUUUUGGAUGUGCUGAGUUUGAAGUAUCUGUGCUUCAUUCCAAUGAGCCUCUUCAUUGCAAGGUCAGUUUCCCAUCUCGCCUUGACAUACUCAGCUCACACAUUCAAACACAGAGCCCUCUGGCUUCUCCCAUCUAAUAGGCAAUCAUAUAUUUCCCUGGGGUGGGAGAGAUAAGUAUAAUAAUGGUGUAUUUGAGGUGAUCUUCCCUGUGGCAAUAUAUAUCACACCCUCUCCUCCCUCCUAAAUAAACAUGACUCUUUCCCAAUCCUUGUAAAAAAAAAAAAAAAAAAAAAAACGAUCCCAUUUACCUCAGCCUAAAA